Small nucleolar RNA from Brassica oleracea var. oleracea, 112 nucleotides. It matches the Rfam family "Small nucleolar RNA snoR100". Lineage: Eukaryota; Viridiplantae; Streptophyta; Magnoliopsida; Brassicales; Brassicaceae. The record is from Rfam.
AGAUGAAGGUAGCAUGGUACUGUGCACGUAAACUGAGCUUGUUUGCGGAUUGAUAUGUCUGCCCUCUCUGAGAUUUUUCUUUGAUUAGAGGGCCUGGUUGAGAUCCACAUUC